Molecule: long non-coding RNA, 544 nt
Organism: Ornithodoros turicata
Lineage: Eukaryota; Metazoa; Arthropoda; Arachnida; Ixodida; Argasidae
Exons: 3
Source: RefSeq, a predicted model, not a curated record
GAUCACGCCAUCGUCGUAGCCAACAGCUGGGGGCGGACAUGACCGUGGAACGGGACGGUUCCGGUUCUCGCAAUAUCUUGAAGGCUUCGCUGGAACGAUACAACAUGGGAGAACUCAGAUACGAAAUGGUCUAUUACGAUGGAAAUGGCUGCUUCAUUUUGAAAGUCAAAGAAGCCCACAUGGCUACCAUGAGGAAAUUGGUCGGCGAAUGCGAAAUAUGGGCCACCAAGGAAGCAGCGCCAGGUGUUAACCCAUCGUCGCCCUGUGAGGUGCGGUACCAGGAGCUCGGGUGCAGAACGGAGGCGAAGCCCUACGUUUCUUCCUGUAAGGAUCCGACGGUACUUUUACAUUAGGCUGUACCUUUCGGCCGCUCGUCUUCAUUUAGUUCUAGCGCAGAAUCUACCCUAUUUGCUCCAUGUCACAAUAAACAAUUUUGCCACGGAAUAUCUUUUGUCUGCUAUAUAAGAAUGCAUACACGUGCCAUUUGCAUGAGGGUGACGGUGACUGUGAUGUGAUAAAGAAAGGAAUGUGGAUGUGAGUUUCG